Molecule: long non-coding RNA, 2428 nt
Filed under: Mus musculus (house mouse)
Lineage: Eukaryota; Metazoa; Chordata; Mammalia; Rodentia; Muridae
Description: long non-coding RNA chr7:131392054-131394482
Source: RNAcentral
GGGCAGGCAUCUACAUCAGGAGAGGCAGGGUUUUGGUUUUCUGGUGGCAAGCUGGACAACUGUCCUGCUAAAGUAGAGAGCUGAUUCAAAGGGUUGUCAACCAUGAGUUCUUGGGGGUCCCUUGGCAGGCCACCAGUUGGUGUAGUUUUAGCCAUAGCUUCAUAGGAGUCAGUCUGAAUAUUUGGGAUUUCGUGUGUAAAAUCAUUAAGGUAGUCUGGUUUCUGGACCACCAUGGAAGGUGGACUUAAGUUGAUUAGUGCUCUUCUGCUAUACCCCAGAUUGCUUGUUUUCUUUUGUAAAACCCCCCACAUUUUCUUGCUGCUUAAGGAAGACCUGGUACCUUUAAUUGGUACCAUUUUAUGUUUGCGCCUUCGAUGGUGGGACAGGUUACUUCGGUCACUGCAGCGGAAGGAGCACAAUUCACAUUUGUAUGGUUUUUCCCCAGUGUGAGAGCGCAUAUGGGCUUCCAGGUGGCGCUCGUAAGCAGAUGCAAAUGGACAUAAGUGACACCUGUGAGGCUUCUCGCCUGUGUGAGAGAGACAUGGAAGAGACUGCAAGAGGAGCUCACUCAUAGGACUUUUCAUGUUUGUCCACUGCAUGUGAGAACUGAUACAAAAAUAAAAUUCUUUGCAGAAAUGCAUACUUGUAUACUAGGUUUGUAAGAUCUGUAAAGAAACCCAAGAACUGAAAUAAAGCUUAAGAAUUCAUUAGCAACAACUUGUUUAUACUUACAAUCUAUUUAGUAUGAAAAUCAUUACAGCUUCAACUGGCACUUGGGGAAAAAGUAAAAAUAUUCCCCACAUAAUAAGGAGAUAUAAAGAUUUUAUCAGCCAGGGAGUAGCAAUACAGAGCUCUAAUCGCAGCACUUGGGAGGCAGAGGCAAGUGGAUCUCUGUGAGUUCAAGGCCAGCCAGGGCUACACACAGAAACCCUGUCUCAAACCACCACCACCCAAAAUAUUUUUAAUCAACUGUAUGUUUCAAAGUAUAUGUUCACAGAUCUAUCUAUGCAUAAAAACUUGUUUUCCUCAAGGGAAAAAACCCACCCCCCACCCUGCAAAAGAAAGUUCAAAAUCAAAAUGAACUCCAGGUUUAAAUAUGAAAUUGCCAGGGCCAAGGCUUCUCCUCCAGUUUCCUAUUCUAGUUCAGAAAGACCAACUUUAUUUAAAAGUCAAACUCUUCAAAUAUGUAAAACUGUCAUUUAGAAUGUAAGACUGAGAAUCACUCCUCUGACAAGGACAGAGCACCUAGCAUGUUCCAGAUUUCAUGCUAGCACUAGGGGGUACAAAGAUGGCCUCUGGAUGUCCUCAGGAAGCGUUCAGGCCACCAUGAUGUACUGCAGAAGCACAGACUGUGCCUGGGCUUGGGUGAGGGCAAGGCGUGCUUUGGAAGGUUUCUCCAAAGGGUGGCUAAGAGCGACCUGGGUUAGCCAGUGCACUCUACAGAAGCCUUUCUAUUUUCUAUAGUAGUGAGCUCCUGAAUCUGACAGCAGAAAGAGAAAGAUUAUGGAGACCAAGCAGGAAAAUGGGUAGGGAGGAGGAGCCAGGAGUCUGUUUCCAGUAUUUGUAUUCCUUUAAGCCACUGCUUUGAAAAAAAAAAAAAAAAUGGAGUUACCACCCAACAAACCUUCAUGAACCUUGUUGGGAACACUCAGAACUCUGUGGCCUUGCCUCCCACGGCCCCUCCAGCUGUUUCUCCAUACCUGUGUGGAUCCUGAUGUGCUCAAUGAGCCUGGCCGUUCCUUUGCUGGCAUAGUUGCAGUACCGACACUUGAGCUUCCCAUCGAAGGUCCUCUCAAACCCGUCUACUAACAUUCCUGAGUUUUCAUCCAGGGAAACUUCAACAGACGGGUGAUCAAGGCCAUUCUGAUCGCCAUCUGUUCCAGCUAUAAACAAAAGCAAAAGAAAUCGUGCAGCUCAGAACCGACCCAGUUCAGCAUGUCAGACUUCACGUGGCUCCUCUACACACUGAGGGCUUCCUUCCCACGAGUGGGAUUCAUUAAACAAUCUAGAUUUCUUGAACUGGGACAAUGUUUAUACAAAAGUACAAUUAUGCUCUAAGAACCUUUAAAAAGGACAUUUACAUAUAAAAAUUUACCAACUCUCACAUGCUUUUGAAGAAAAUAGGUCAGGUAGAAAGGAGUAAAGAGGGUUAUUCAGGUUGGAGAGAUGGCUCAGUGGUUAAGAGCACUGACUGCUCUUCCAGAGGUCCUGAGUUCAAUUCCCAGUACCCACAUGGUGGCUCACAACUAUUUGUCAUGGGAUCUGAUGCACUCUUCUGGUGUGUGUCUGAAGAGAGCAACAGUGUACUCAUAUAAAUAAAUAAAUCUUUUUUUUAUUUUUUGGUUUUUCGAGACAGGGUUUCUCUGUAUAGCCCUGGCUGUCCUGGAACUCACUCUGUAGACAAAAAAAAAAAAAAUAAAUAAAUCUU